This 647-nucleotide ribosomal RNA is filed under the name Hyphodontia tropica. RNAcentral describes it as "eukaryotic LSU rRNA". The stretch from base 244 to 396 matches the Rfam family "5.8S ribosomal RNA". Lineage: Eukaryota; Fungi; Basidiomycota; Agaricomycetes; Hymenochaetales; Schizoporaceae. The record is from RNAcentral.
CCUAGCGUACUGCGGAGGAUCAUUACUGAGUUUUGAGUGGGCUUGAUGCUGGCAUCUCUCGAUGCAUGUGCUCAGCCCCGCUCUCAAAUCCACUCAACACCUGUGCACUUUCAAAGUUGUAGUCCUCCGUAAUGGGAGUCGCAAGUCUUUAUUGGCUUGUUGGGACUGCACUUUGCCAUUUAUCACAAACGAUUUAUAUUGUUUUGUAAAAUGUCUAGCCUCUUAGUAGGUGAAACUUAAUACAACUUUCAACAACGGAUCUCUUGGCUCUCGCAUCGAUGAAGAACGCAGCGAAAUGCGAUAAGUAAUGUGAAUUGCAGAAUUCAGAAAUCAUCGAAUCUUUGAACGCACCUUGCGCUCCUUGGUAUUCCGAGGAGCAUGCCUGUUUGAGUGUCGUGAAAUUAUCAACUCCCAUUCUUUGUUGAUUGGUGAGCUUGGACUUGGGGACUGCUGGUGCAAAUCAGCUUCCCUUGAAUGAAUUAGCUGGAAUUUGAUUCGCAGCAUAUAUGCGGUGUGAUAAUGUCGUCACUGUGUAGCUCGGAUUGCCUGGCUUCUAAUCGUCCUUCACGGACAACUUGAUCUUUUGACCUCAAAUCAGGUAGGACUACCCGCUGAACUUAAGCUAUCAAAAACGGGAAGAAACCCAA